ACCUGCGGAAGGACAUU
RNAcentral lists this ribosomal RNA (17 nucleotides) under Pyxine endochrysina. RNAcentral's name for it is "partial 18S ribosomal RNA". RNAcentral also lists the same sequence under 1 other name. Lineage: Eukaryota; Fungi; Ascomycota; Lecanoromycetes; Caliciales; Caliciaceae. The record is from RNAcentral.